AGGACGAGCGCUGGCGGCGUGCUUAACACAUGCAAGUCGAACGGUGACGAGAAGCUUGCUUCUCUGAUCAGUGGCGAACGGGUGAGUAACACGUGAGCAACCUACCCUUGACUCUGGGAUAACAGUUGGAAACAGCUGCUAAUACCGGAUACGACCCCGACCGACAUCAGUUGGGGUGGAAAGUUCUGGCGGUCAAGGAUGGGCUCGCGGCCUAUCAGCUAGUUGGUGAGGUAACGGCUCACCAAGGCUUCGACGGGUAGCCGG
RNAcentral lists this ribosomal RNA (264 nucleotides) under uncultured bacterium. RNAcentral's name for it is "partial small subunit ribosomal RNA". It matches the Rfam family "Bacterial small subunit ribosomal RNA", at positions 26 to 290 of the family's 1533-position model. The record is from RNAcentral.